RNAcentral lists this ribosomal RNA (896 nucleotides) under uncultured bacterium. RNAcentral describes it as "bacterial SSU rRNA". It matches the Rfam family "Bacterial small subunit ribosomal RNA", at positions 26 to 916 of the family's 1533-position model. The record is from RNAcentral.
AGAGCGACGUUUGGCAGUGUGUCUAAAGCAUGCAAGUCGAACGGCAGCAGGCCAUAUAGCAAUAUAUGGUGCUGGCGAGUGGCGAACUGGUGAGUAACGCGUAAGAAUCUACCCUCUGGUGGGGGAUAACUCAUGGAAACAUGAGCUAAUACCGCAUGAAACCGAACCCAUAGUGAUAUGAGCUUGGUAAAAGGAGAAAUCCGCCAGUGGAUGAGCUUGCGUCCCAUUAGCUAGUUGGUAGGGUAAGAGCCUACCAAGGCGAUGAUGGGUAGCUGGCCUGAGAGGGUGGUCAGCCACACUGGGACUGAGAUACGGCCCAGACUCCUACGGGAGGCAGCAGCUAAGAAUCUUCCUCAAUGGGGGAAACCCUGAAGGAGCGACACUGCGUGCAGGAUGAAGGCCCUUUGGGUUGUAAACUGCUUUUGUAGGGGAGAAAUAACCGAAUGGGAUGAUAGUACCCUACGAAUAAGUCCCGGCUAACUACGUGCCAGCAGCCGCGGUAAAACGUAAGGGGCGAACGUUGCUCGGAAUUACUGGGCGUAAAGGGCCGGUAGGUGGCUUUAUAAGUCAGUUGUCAAAUACCCAUGCUCAACGUGGGAGAGGCGACUGAUACUGUAGAGCUUGAGUAGAGGAGGGGAUGACGGAAUACCCGGUGUAGGGGUGAAAUCUGUUGAUAUCGGGUAGAACACCGAUGGCGAAAGCGGUCAUCUAGCCUCAUACUGACACUCAACGGCGAAAGCCAGGGGAGCGAACGGGAUUAGAUACCCCGGUAGUCCUGGCCAUAAACGAUGCAUGCUAGGUAUUGGCACCGCGUUGGUGAUAGUACCGUAGCUUAUGCGUUAAGCAUGCCGCCUGGGGAGUAUGCUCGCAAGAGUGAAACUCAAAGGAAUUGACGG